GACGAACGCUGGCGGCGUGCUUAACACAUGCAAGUCGAACGGAAAGGCCCCUUUGGGGGUACUCGAGUGGCGAACGGGUGAGUAACACGUGAGUAACCUGCCCUUGACUUCGGGAUAACUUCAGGAAACUGGGGCUAAUACCGGAUAGGAAUCCUUGCUGCAUGGUGGGGGUUGGAAAGCUUCGGCGGUUUUGGAUGGACUCGCGGCUUAUCAGCUUGUUGGUGGGGUAGUGGCUUACCAAGGCUUUGACGGGUAGCCGGCCUGAGAGGGCGACCGGCCACAUUGUGACUGAGAUACGGCCCAGACUCCUACGGGAGGCAGCAGUGGGGAAUAUUGCACAAUGGGCGGAAGCCUGAUGCAGCAACGCCGCGUGCGGGAUGACGGCCUUCGGGUUGUAAACCGCUUUCAGCAGGGGCGAAGCUUGUGGUGACGGUACCUGCAGAAGAAGCACCGGCUAACUACGUG
Molecule: ribosomal RNA, 465 nt
Filed under: uncultured bacterium
Lineage: Bacteria
Description: partial 16S ribosomal RNA
Rfam family: Bacterial small subunit ribosomal RNA
Source: RNAcentral